RNAcentral lists this ribosomal RNA (411 nucleotides) under uncultured bacterium. RNAcentral describes it as "bacterial SSU rRNA". It matches the Rfam family "Bacterial small subunit ribosomal RNA", at positions 355 to 776 of the family's 1533-position model. The record is from RNAcentral.
UGGGGAAUAUUGCACAAUGGGCGAAAGCCUGAUGCAGCAACGCCGCGUGCGGGAUGACGGCCUUCGGGUUGUAAACCGCUUUUAGUAAGGAAGAAGCCGCAAGGUGACGGUACUUGCAGAAAAAGGACCGGCUAACUACGUGCCAGCAGCCGCGGUAAUACGUAGGGUCCGAGCGUUGUCCGGAAUUAUUGGGCGUAAAGAGCUCGUAGGCGGUUUGUCGCGUCUGCUGUGAAAACUAGAGGCUCAACCUCUAGCCUGCAGUGGGUACGGGCAGACUUGAGUGGUGUAGGGGAGACUGGAAUUCCUGGUGUAGCGGUGGAAUGCGCAGAUAUCAGGAGGAACACCGAUGGCGAAGGCAGGUCUCUGGGCACUUACUGACGCUGAGGAGCGAAAGCGUGGGGAGCGAACAGG